This is a non-coding RNA of Strigamia maritima, 71 nucleotides long. The record is from Rfam. Lineage: Eukaryota; Metazoa; Arthropoda; Chilopoda; Geophilomorpha; Linotaeniidae.
GGACACAGCUCAGAUGGUAGAGUGCUCGCUUAGAAUGCGAGAGGUCCAGGGAUCGACACCCUGUAUCUCCA